This 5440-nucleotide long non-coding RNA is filed under the name Bemisia tabaci. RNAcentral's name for it is "lncRNA ENSSSA1UGG000936". Lineage: Eukaryota; Metazoa; Arthropoda; Insecta; Hemiptera; Aleyrodidae. The record is from RNAcentral.
AUGUCCGCCGGUUUCAUCGACUCGCACACUAGCUACGCCUACGUCAAUGACAGCUCGCAGCUCUACGGGAAGAAAAGCUACGGGAACGACCUCGACUACGGAACGGGGAAUGGAAGCGACCGGUAUCACGUGACGUUCAACAGCGGAACAGGGACGGGGACCGCGCGUCGGAAGCCGUCAGGCAAGUACACUGCCGUCGGUGAUGGAUAUAGUUCCGGUGAUGGGUACUACGGCUCUGUCUCUAUGGCCCCCGAUGAAGAUCUCUACUCGAGGAAAGGGACGGUGGGUCAGACGAACAUCAUGAGCUCGUACGGGGUCUACGGGGAGGAGACGGACGACGGCGACGAGGAGGGGUUCUCGAAGACCUCCAAGGAGACGGCCGUCUACUACCCGGAACCGGUCCUCGUCGUCUCCAAGCAGAAGGACGGCUCCACGACGAGCGUCCUCCGCUCGGCGGCGGAUCUGGAGGCCCGCGGCGGCGGCCGUGGAGGCGGCGCGGGGUGCUUCUGGUGCUCCUGCUCCGAGAAGCGGCCCAACCUGGACGUCGACGACCAGAUGGCCUCCUUCGACACCUCCGGCUGGUGCAAACCGGCCGUCCUGCUCAUCGUUCUCGUUCUCCUGCUUGUCCUAUUCUUCGUCGUCUCCGGCAUUCUUCUCUACUUCAAUUAUGCAGCUUACACACCAAGGACGCCAAUCAUUGAAGGUAUGUCUCAUUAAAUUUUCUGCCCUCGAUUUUACUUCUCUCCACAUUGUGGAAGAAGUUUUUUCCGGUCUAGCAUUUCUUAUGUAAAUUAACCAGUCCACUGAUCAAUGGGUCAGUUGUGCUGAUGACAGAAUCGUGUUUUGAUGUUUGACUCUUGCGGAUCAGAUAGAAAUAAUAACAUUUGUCCAAACAGCAACUAACUUUGUUCAAUAUUAACCGACGCGACGUAUCGCGCUUUGAAAAAUUCAGUUUAUGACGUCAUCCACCGCGGUAGUGAUUCAUCCACCGUGAAUUGCUUUCAUCCGGUUUCAAGUUGAGUAAUCAGAGAAAAUGUGUGUCUCCCUGAUAAAUGAAAGCAAGGUGGAAAAAAAGAAAGGUGUUACUACCGCGGUGGAUGACGUCAUAAGCGGAAUUUUUCAAAGCGUUGCAUGAUAUCUUGGUUAAUAUUGAGCGUAGAGAGUUGCUGUUCGGACAGAUCUUUUUGUGUGUAGCUGCUUCAUAAGGAUCAAGCAACAAAACAAGAUUUUGUGACCGACGCAACUGACUUUUGAAACAAAGCCCAACCAGUCACAACAUACCUACUCUGAUCUAUUAGGUAGAAAACACACUACACGAGGGUAGUUGAAACGCGGAGGAUGCGGGGCAGUGGCGAGGUGUGAAUGAUCGAUUAUCGAUAUUUCCACAUUUGAAGCCGUAAUAAAGAAUCGAUUAUUAAGGUAUUCGAUGUGAACACCCAGUUCACCGAUCAUUUUCCGUAGGUUUGAAUGGCAGUUUAAUCGAUACAUCGCAGAUGCGGGGAGGGCGGAGCUUCGACUUUUUCAAGGAGAAUCACAAUUACGAUGGAAUAUUUUAUCAUCUCCGCUCCGGCGCGGAGUGCAAAGGACGUCUUAAUAACUCAUUUGUCGAGCACUUCCGAUUCAUCAUUAAAAAUUUCUGCCUCCUCGACAAUCGGCGCCGGUGCUGCACCCUAUUUCCGCGACCUCGAAACUCGAGCACGAUCUCUUCGAUGAAUCGAGGAUCGAUUCCAUUGAAGCGAUUCCUUCCUCACGGAGAAAAAAGAAUCGUUGCCAUCACGAUGCUCAUUGCUGAUUCCAGGCCCCCUUAUUUUUCUAGUCGCGUGGUUACAAUGUUAUUUUUGUGAUGACAAUAGAGCUCUUGCAUGGUGGGGGAUUUGAAAUCUAUGCACCGAUUACCACGUAAAAUUUCGCGAGACAUACGAUGGGGCACUGGUUUUCUGUAAGACAAACUCCAAAGCUUACACAAAAAACUCUCAAAGUUCAGGCCUUAAUGGAGGAUGACCCGUGCUGCGUUGAGAGUUCACCUUUGCCGCUUUGUUUGGGACUCCAAAACUGAAAACAAGGCAACCCUACUAGUGUGUUUACUCUCUAUCUGUGCAUGGAGAGUUUGAAUGGAUUUAGAGGUGGACUUACAACGUGGCGUGGGAAUAAAAUGAUUAGAAAAGGAAGAAAACUAAAAAAAAUCUACCUUGCUACCUAAAAAGCACAACCGGAAUUUUGACAAAAAAGCGGAUGGAACCAGGAAUUUACAAUGACCAGUUUUACCGUUUUUUUUUUUAUCUUUUUGUGCUUCUUCCUCCGAUGUCUACUACGUCUUCGUUUGACAUACUUUAACAAUGCCAAAACCGAAGUUAGACGAGAGGCGGAUCCAGCAAUUUGGCAACACCGGAGUCCCACCAUUCAAACCUAUGUUAACUAAUCGAUUCUUGUCGGAGCACCUGGCCUCUCCAAGAAUCAGUGGCGUAGCGUGCUUUGCGAUUUAUCGAUCGAUCUUUCAUUGAAACCUAUGGAAAAGGAUCGAUAAACAGGGCGCGUCCGCAACGGAAACCUCAAUUAUCGAUCUUUUACCAUAUCUUCAAAUGAGGAAAUAUCGAAAAUCGAUUAUUCACGCCUUGCCACUGCCAAGAAUCGAUAUAUUUCAAUAGGUUUAUAUGGAGAAAAACAAUGUUGCCAGUUUGCUGGAUCCGUCGAUGAGUUAGACAAGGGUCGAAUGACCGUCGACUUGACGAAUAUAUCGAAGCGGGCUGGUCCGGGGCGAGAAGAAAGAGGCUAAGACGACGUGAUUAAAGACCGUAAUUUCCAAUUUGCCAUCGAUUUUUCGCGCCCGGGAGCCCACAGUCUCGGCGCGAUGGCUCUCAAAAAUCGAGAGGCUCAAUUUAUUAUGGCGGCAACGGUUCCGUCGAAUUGUAUAAAUCUUCGCCGAACGAGGAGGAAAAUAUCACCCCUCCGAGUGGAGAUCGGUCGCAGAGCGCGGGAACACUCGACUUCUCGCCCCGCGAUUUUUCUUCCGGACGACCUUUUGACGUGGACUAAACAGCGAGUAAAAGCUCAUUCCGUUGCAACUGGAAAAAUUAUCCUCUCGCGAUGAUAUCAGACGCUUUUUCGGAGUGAACGAGUUCUCCGCCCGACUCGCAGUUUGAAGUUCAUUUCAGAUAAACUUAAAGAGACUGCUUUUUUCAGUAGGUAAGGAACUACUAAACUGCAGUAGCGCCAAAAUUGUGCAGCAUUUUUCAUGUCACUGAAAAAGAAAGAGAGAAACUGAAGAUUGGAAUAGUUUAUUUUUUCAUCAUAAAUCUGUUUCUUAAAAGAGAAAAUUUCCCUUUGUAUUUCAUUUAGUAAUCUACUUUCAUCUAUUUUAUUGUAAAUGUAGGAGUGGCACAAUCUUUACAAACAGUACUGCAUUAGGAAUUUUUAGUGUCAAAUAUCGAAGGUGUAGGUCGGCAAUCACAUAACUCGUUUGCGGUGUUUGAAAAUCUCCACCUCUAUGUUAUUUUUUUAAAGGAGAACAAAUUGACAUCAUUUCUUGAAGUUUUUGCAGAAUAUUCUGCGCACUGUGAAGAAAAAUCACGGCAUUUUUGAAGAGUUGCCGUUGAGUAGUUUCCCGUUUAAAAAAUAAAGUAUGACAGGAAGUCUGCGACGUCGCAAACCGAGUUAUGUGAUUGCCGACUUACCCGUCGAUAUGUAAUUGAGGUAUUUUUCGGUAAUAGGGCGUAUGAGGUCUGCAAUGCUGCUAAAAGUGUGCAAUUUUUUCCAGCGUUUUGCGACAGAUGACAGUCAUUCAUAGUCGACUUACUUCCUGACAACAGUAAGAAAGAACUCGGAGCAGAUUCAGGGAAAAAUUCAUAGCAGAAGUGCCGGGUAAGUUGCACAAUCUUAGCAGCAUUGGAAGUCUCAUACGCCCGUUUACGGAAAAAUACCUCAAUUAAAUUAGAGACCCUCAAAAUUUUAAUUGAGGAGAACCUCUAUUUCUGAUGUAGAACCUUUAAAGAGAGAUUAAUUUGCACCCAUAACAUUUCAUAAAUUGGCUUAGCUGUUUUAUGGGACCGUCAAGGACUACAAAAAGUGAUGAAUGCCACCAUCAGAUGACUUAAAAUGAUUUAGUCUGUGGUUUUCUUUCAAACUUUUCCAAAAAAGAAAAAAAAUCAAUUUUCCGCAAUCAUUCGCAAAACAAUCUUUUUAGCACAACCUUAAUAGACCUUUAGGCAAGGUGCAAAAUGCAUAACGAUAUUUGUAUUCUCAUCAUAACUCACGCAGAACACGAUUUGCACUACAAAAAUUACCCAAAAAAACCCUAAAAAAGAAAUCAAUGUUUUUCGAUGCAUGAAUUCAAACUUCCCGUUUUAUGUGCUGUCGUCAUCGUGACAGUCGUUCCAGAAUGAAAAUAUCGCAAUCUCAAUAUCGGCAAUUCGGCUCGGCUAUCGCACGUUUUUUGCACUUUGAACAACACAGAGUGGUAAAAGAACGCUGCUCGAUUGAAAAGCCCUGCCAAAACAGUUGUAUUGUGAAUAAUCUCCUUUUUAUUUCGAUAUGUAUUAUUUAUUUACUCAUUGGUUGUUUCACUUUGAUUAUAAAUACCUAUAUCUCCUCGCAACAACGACGUAUGAAUUUAGUGAUUGGCAUAUUGUGAUACCACAAGUGGAGAGAAUGUAAGGCGUUCCAGCUUCUUUAAUGGUUAGGUUUGCAUGCAACUAUUCGUGUUCGCGUGAUGUCCAUGUUGCAUACCAAAAUAUUGCAGGCGCUCUGGUUUUCUUAGAAACAACGAACGGCUGUGGUUGUUAGUUCUCACCGGUUUUCCAAGUUGGAUUUACAAUUGUGUUUACCAUGAGAUCUUUGGAGUUCGUAUGAGCCGUGUUGCAUCACGGCAGCGUUGUCUAAUGGUGCAUAUUUUCCACCAAAAACACUACCGCAAGCAUCGCAGAUGGGUCCUUACUGUAAAACAAAAAGAGACAUAAACGAAAUAAGAAAGACAAUCAGACCCAUGAAGUUAGCACUAUGUUCAGCAUAUCGAACUGUUUCUGAUGUAUGUUUGGACAUAAUAUCUGGAAUACCACCCCCCCAAAUUCUCAUUAAUAGUCAGGGAGAAAUACGGAAAAAAAGGCCUUAACCCGGAACAAAUUGCAUAACAAUUUAUUCCUGUGUAAACGUCAUCAGUAGGUCCUCCUGAACAACAUACAAAAAGUUUACCACGGUCCGACCCCGGAACACCCCCCAAAAUGACGAAAAUUCAAAAUGGCGGCCAUAAUAAGGGCAUGUGGGAUUUCGGUAUUUUAAAAUGUUCCUAUAGUGUCAUGUGAGGUAUCAUUUCCUAUGUAAUUUUGGUCGCAGAUUUCAUUUCUGAAGUCCAAAAAGCCCCUAGGUCAAAGGGGGUGACCCAACUCCAAGAUGGCGGCCAAAUUUGAAAGGCAAAAGGGUCAUUUUUCAACUUUCACGUGAUCGGGUA